This 72-nucleotide transfer RNA is filed under the name Camelus ferus (Wild Bactrian camel). It matches the Rfam family "tRNA". From Rfam's summary of the family: Transfer RNA (tRNA) molecules are approximately 80 nucleotides in length. Their secondary structure includes four short double-helical elements and three loops (D, anti-codon, and T loops). Lineage: Eukaryota; Metazoa; Chordata; Mammalia; Artiodactyla; Camelidae. The record is from Rfam by way of RNAcentral.
GAGGGUAGAGCUCAGUGGUAGAGUGCGUGCUUAGCAUGCAUGAGGUCAUGGGUUCAAUCCCCAGUACCUCUG